This 319-nucleotide ribosomal RNA is filed under the name uncultured eukaryote. RNAcentral's name for it is "partial 18S ribosomal RNA". It matches the Rfam family "Eukaryotic small subunit ribosomal RNA", at positions 1470 to 1796 of the family's 1831-position model. The record is from RNAcentral.
CCCUUAGAUGUUCUGGGCAGCACGCGCGCUACAAUGGUCUUCGCAAACGGAUGCAUUCUCGAAGGAGAAUGCCAAUCUUGGAAUCUAUGCCUUGGUCGGGACAGUUGCUUGCAAUUUUUCGACUCGAACCAGGAAUUCCUUGUAAUCGUGAUUCAUCACAUCACGAUGAAUACGUCCCUGCCCUUUGUACACACCGCCCGUCGCUCCUACCGAUCGAAGAGUUAGGUGAAUUGUUUUGAUCGAUAUGAUUUGACUAUGGUCAACUCUCGUUGUGAAAUUCUGUGAAUCUGACUGUUUAGAGGAAGGAAAAGUCGUAACA